Molecule: long non-coding RNA, 337 nt
Organism: Hippocampus comes (tiger tail seahorse)
Lineage: Eukaryota; Metazoa; Chordata; Actinopteri; Syngnathiformes; Syngnathidae
Exons: 2
Source: RefSeq, a predicted model, not a curated record
UGACGAUCAUGAUGAGUAAGAUCCCCAAAACAAGAGCUGGGUAGCUGUGAACCACCGGAACCACCAGCUGCGUAAGGAGUCGUGUCCAUUUGGCAUAAGGGAAAUUCUGCUGUGCAGAGGAAGCGAUCCGGACCGACACUGACUGGAGUCGGAGAGCGCUGCGCGUACAAGACGCUAAACUCACGAGUGAACAGAACCAAAACACCGUUUCGCCAUCGAUUUGGACAAGAUGCAGCGAAUGCUGACACGGUUCGGGUUCCCCGCCAAUGUCUCGUGAUUUACGAGUACAGUAUUAUAUCGGCUGGGGCGGCGGACACCCAUUUGUGCUGAAAAAAAA